AUGAAAAUGAGGCAAUUUAAAACCUACAGAGAGAUUUGUUUGGUUUCACUAGAGGAAGCUUCUAUCCCUGGAAGGAAAAAGAGAUGUAUAGAUUUCGAAGCAAACGAAGGAAAAAAAGAAAAAAAAAAACCUUUUUUUAAGGGGGGUUCCCGGUGUUUUUUUUUUUUUUUUUUUUUUUUUUUUGUUAAUUUUAAAUUACAGCUUUGCACUUUAACCCUCCCUUGCUUCAGUUUCAUGAUGUUCUUCCGCAUUUACAGUAGCUUCAGUGCAGUCUGCCUCCAUCCACUCUGAGCCACCAUUUCCGGGUGCGGUCUCUAGUGCUUUGUCUACCACCCAAUCAUCCAUCGGAUCAAUCUCCUCAGAUACAAGGCCACUUUUAACACCUAAUUUUGUGUUCUGCAAGUGCAAGUUAUAGUGAACAUAUGCUAAAUCAUUCAAUCGUUGUUGCUCAACAUGGUUCCUCCCACUCAUGAGAAGCCUCUCAGCCAAACUCCUCUUCAGCCCAUAUCUCAAAGCACCAUCACAAGUUUGGCUCAGAAUUCUUACAGCAAAUUUUUGCAGCUCGGGAUGUUGUUUCCCAUAGGUAGACCACCACUGGGCUGGAGAAACAUUGGUUCUUUUGCCAAUUGCACUCCCCUCUUUGAAAGCACCUCGAGCAUGUCUAUACUCAUCAAGUUGUAAAGAUAUUAGAUCUUGUGUGUGCUGAUCUGGUACCAUACGAACAAUACAGCAUAACAGGCCAAAAGCAACCUCAGGAUCACUGUAGAAAUCAGUUGAAUAAAAUAGGCUUGGGUUUAAAUAAUAGCCUGCAGCAUGUAGAGGGCUAUGGAGAUAGGUGUCCCAGAUCUCGUCAAUUAUUUUCCAGAAAGGAAUAUAUUGUGAUUUCUUGUUUUUAAAUUCUUCUCUAAUUGUCUCCUUCGCUUGAUCCAUGGUCUCAUAUAUGUAACCCACUUGAGGUUUAUCAGCCUCAGCAAUCAGACUCAGAACACGGAGCAGUGGCACAGUAGCCUUCAAGGUCAUCUCAGCCCCAGUCCAGAAAGAAAGAUCCUCCAUCAAAUGAGCCACUGUCAUUCCCUCUGGAAUGGAAGCCCAGACUGAGGUCCUCCACUCUGAUGACACAAACAUUUUCUUCAAGUUCUUCUUUUCUGAUACGAUAUUCUCUAAGGUCAAGAAAGGCACAACAAACUUCAUCUUGGAUGGCUUUAUCAAGUCAUAGCUACGCGUAUGAUUUCUCAUAAGCUUCAAAAUCUCCCCACGUCCAUAAAUGAACUUUGUAAUGAUCUUGGCCUUGUCUAGUAUCCCCCUGAUGCCAACCAAUGUCCCUAUCUUUUCUAGAAUGAGCUUAAUGCAAUGAGAUGUGCUAACACUCCAGAACACCGUCCUACGCCUGUCCAUAAACUGCUUGCCUACAGUUCCCACCCAGCCUGUCGUUGAACAUGCUACAAUUUGAACUACAUUGUCAAUCCCAACCUCCUCAAUAGCUCUAUCCAGUAAUAACUGCAAUGCAUUUACAUCAUUGAUAAUAGCUGAAACAUCAGCUGAAUGAAGAUAAAUUGGACCUGCAGGGCAUUCCACCACAAAACUAACCAGGUUUUGACCCUUCUCAUUGACCCAUCCAUCCAACAAAAUACUGCAUCCAGUACUUGCCCAUGAAUGUCUAAUCUUCUUCACAUAUUCUUGCAUCUCUUUCACUUCAUCCCAAAGAAUCCACCCUUUCAACUCCAGAAGAGUAGGGAUUGUCACCUGACCACAACCAAGAGUUGCAUUUAGCAUUCUUUCGAAGCUAGGAGAAUUGGCAACACUAAAAUCAAUACCAGUUUCAUAGAAAAAUCUGCCAAUGCUUUUUUUGACUUGGCCUGCUGAUGCAUCUUCUUUUAAUUGGCCAUUUAUGGUUAUUUUUGAAUCUGGUCUUUUGUUAGGAACUGGAAAAUGUUCUACCACAUCAUCUUCUACCACAGAAUCAUUCUCUAGCUGCUUUUUGCUUCCAUAACCAGCAGUUUGACUGGCUUCAAACUUAAAAUGCUUGACAACAUUUGAGGUAGGCCACCCAUUUCUCUUCCCUGGCAGAUCUGGCUGACAUAUUUUUCCAACUUCCUUAGCAAGAUUCUCUCUUUUCCUUUCUUCUAACAUAUUUCUAAAUGAUUCCUUAACAUUUUCAGGAACUUUCUCACAAGGGACUACAUCUUUCCGUACACCCCCUAAAUGGCACUUGAGACGGAAGAAGCCACUGACUACUUUACCACAAUAGUUGCAUUGAACUCUAAUCUUUUUCUUGUCAAGAGAAGUACCAUGAUUAUGAAUAUUGAUGGAGGACUCACCAGUAGACAUUUUUCUACAUUAGAAGGAAACAAGAAAUGCCACAAUUGCAAAUUCUUAGCCAAGAGACCUCAGU
Molecule: unclassified non-coding RNA, 2392 nt
Filed under: Hevea brasiliensis (rubber tree)
Lineage: Eukaryota; Viridiplantae; Streptophyta; Magnoliopsida; Malpighiales; Euphorbiaceae
Source: RNAcentral